AUGGUUGCAAAGCUGAAACUUAAAGGAAUUGACGGAAGGGCACCACCAGGAGUGGAGCCUGCGGCUUAAUUUGACUCAACACGGGAAACCUCACCAGGCCCAGACACUAGCAGGAUUGACAGAUUAAGAGCUCUUUCUCGAUUUGGUGGGUGGUGGUGCAUGGCCGUUCUUAGUUGGUGGAGUGAUUUGUCUGGUUAAUUCCGGUAACGAACGAGACUCUGGCCUACUAAAUAGUCGACGUGGUGAUAUGGCCACGGUCGAAACUAUCUUCUUAGAGGGAUGAGCAGCAAGUGCAGCUGCAGGAGAGUGAGCAAUAACAGGUCUGUGAUGCCCUUAGAUGUUCUGGGCCGCACGCGCGCUACACUGAAAGGGUUAGCGGGUCUACCUUCUCCGAGAGGAGCGGGAAAUCGCUACAAAACCUUUCAUGAUUGGGAUUGGGGCUUGCAACUGUUCCCCAUGAACGAGGAAUUCCCAGUAAGCGCAAGUCAUCAGCUUGCGUUGAUUAAGUCCCUGCCCUUUGUACACACCGCCCGUCGCUACUACCGAUUGAAUGAUUUAGUGAGGCCUUCGGACUGGCGGCUUGGACUGGGCCCCACUCGUCACCUCUUCGCGCCUCGCGCGCGCUGGGGCCGGUGGGCUCGCCUCGACGCGCCGGAAAGAUGUCCAAA
RNAcentral lists this ribosomal RNA (668 nucleotides) under Typhlatya arfeae. Its description in RNAcentral is "bacterial SSU rRNA". It matches the Rfam family "Eukaryotic small subunit ribosomal RNA", at positions 1125 to 1763 of the family's 1831-position model. The record is from RNAcentral. Lineage: Eukaryota; Metazoa; Arthropoda; Malacostraca; Decapoda; Atyidae.